GGGCUAGUGGCUAAGCCAGGCAUAGCGACAGGCUCUUAACUUGUUGGUCGUGGGUUCAAACGCUAUGAGAUUUCCUCGGGCGGAACGUAUCCCACCUAGCCCG
This 103-nucleotide transfer RNA is filed under the name Promethearchaeota archaeon. Its description in RNAcentral is "Candidatus Lokiarchaeota archaeon (microbial mat metagenome) tRNA-Lys". It matches the Rfam family "tRNA". Rfam says of the family: Transfer RNA (tRNA) molecules are approximately 80 nucleotides in length. Their secondary structure includes four short double-helical elements and three loops (D, anti-codon, and T loops). The record is from RNAcentral. Lineage: Archaea; Promethearchaeati; Promethearchaeota.